UGUUAGCCUGGAGUUCGGAAUGACGUGAUCGUUCGAUGGGAACCACGCGCUUCACAACAGUACAAUUCCGAAUUUCGCCCGAAUAUUACUAGUGCAUGCCUUGUGGAAACUGUGCAUUUAAAGUGAUCUAUAUCUAUCCGCAAUUUUUCUCCAGUGAAUUGUAACCAGUGCUGUUUAAACGCUGCAUUGAAAAAACAGGCAACAAUAAAAGACAAAGCGGAGAACGGAGUAUCAGCGCCUGUAGAAGAAAAGCUAGUCAAGCCUUCCGCCGCCAAGCAGGCCGAUCAAGCUACAAAGCCAGCUGACGAGAAACCACGAUUCACUAGGACUGCACUCAAAAGUGCUUUAAAAUCAGAAGAUAAACCUUCCAAUGACAAAGCAGAUAAGCCGACAUUGAGAAGUGUGAGAACAAUAGAUGACAAAGCCAAAGAGAAAUCAGUAACUAUAGUUGACAAGAGACCAGAAAAAAAUGGUCCUACUAAAACAAAUAGCACGGUAAAUGACAAAUCUGAUAAAUCAUCAGUUGUGAACAAAGACACUAAGCCCGUGACGAAAGUUGUUAAUGACAAACCUGCGCCUAAGGUUGUCGAAAAACCGGCUCCAAAAGCCCCUGAAAAGGUAGUGUUAAAGCCCGUGCCUGCUAAAGAGGUGGAAUCUAAACCUUCGCCUACAAAACAGGAGACCAAGCCAGCUGCUAAAGCUGAACCGAAAGGUACUGAAAAAGCUGUAGAGAAGUCAGAAAGCUCAGAAAUGGCAACAAAACCACCUCUAGAUAAGGGUCCUUCUAAGCUCCCACCGCGCAAACCUUCUCUUCAAAAGCAGCCCUCAAAGGAUGACAUGCCAGUGAAGAAAUGGCGUGAUCCUCUGCAUGAGCGGGUAAAGGAGAACAUUGACAAGACCCUGAAUAAUGAAGUACCUAAAGGUCACACGCUGACUAAGAAUGAGAGCUUGAGAAGUUUGCUGAAGCCCACACCACCGCCGAUGCCUCCUCCCAUGCCACCAAAAAUGCCUCCUCCCCCGGAGUUCAAGAAGGCGCCGGUGGACCCCGCGAAACUGAAGAGGUUGGAGCAGCUCCGCAGUAGACCCAGGAGAAGACCAGACUGGACUGACAUGAUGAAGGAAGUGGAACAAGGAAAGAAGCUCAAACAUGUUGUUUGUAACGACAGAUCAAGCCCAAUUAUAACCACAUCGACAGUAGUGAAGAACAAGGGACAAUUCAUAUUCGAGUCCGAAAAACCGAACUCCCACAACGCGUUGCUGAAAGAGAUCUCUAAGGGUGUGAAGUUGAAGAAAACAAAAACUAAUGAUAGGAGUAAACCGAACCUGGAAGGUUUGAGGAAGUUCAGGAGGCAGAUGACGAUAGAGGAGCAAGUGCAGAAGAGUAUGUCACAGGCGAACUUAGCGUCGUCACCGUCAGGAGUCGGCCUGGCCGCGGCCGAGGCCAGUAAUUCACAUAUACCUGGUAUGAUCCCCGCUGAAGAUGAAGAAAUCGAUGAGAUGGACGAUAUUGACAAGGUCAGAGACGACUUGCAGUCCACAAAACAGUUACUGGCUAUCGAGCUAAGAAACAAAGAAGCCCAAGAGAGAGAAAACAAACGACUUCUAACAAGGAUAGCGAACUUAGAAGCAGAGUUAGCUAGAGAAAGAGCUUUCAUCAAACAAGAACAGCACAAGACUGUGAUAUCUGUCACUGAUGCUUACGACGAGAGAUUAGUGAACAACCUAAAGAUGGAAGUAGAAAAGACUAAGGAAAAUGCUGACAAUUUGGAGAAACAGUACUUACAGGCUGCUGAAGAUAGGGACACAGCUCUCACAGAACUGGAAGAAGUGAAGAGAAGAAAUGCUGAAUUAGAGAAGAAAUUGGAACAAGCUAUGUCGGGCAUCAUGCCAACGAGCAUGGGUUCGCGGCGCUCGAGCCACGCCAUCAAACAGCUGUCCGUUACCAAGGACGACAGCUUCGAGGAAGAAGAGGAAUCCGAUGAUGAAGAGGAGGAAAGCGAAGAAAAGAAACAGAAGCGACUGGAGAAGGAAGUACGCAACAUGAGGAACAAGAUCCGAUACCUAAAAGAGAAACAGGAUCACAUGAAGCGAGAGCGCAUGGGCUUCAAGAUGUCGCUCAAGAACCAACAGGCUGCGCUUAAAGAGGAGAAACGAAAAUACAAGGAGUUGAAACGCGAAGUCGACAAGAUGGCAGCCAUGAUGAAGGAAUGUGGUUCAGAAGAUGAGGACGAUGAGGAGGAGGAGGAAGAAUCAGAAGAGGAGAAGAAGUCAGAGUCAGAAGAAGAAGAAUCUGAGACUGAAACCGAACAAGACACUGAAAGUGAGACGGAGAGUGAAAGUGAACCAGAGGAUGCUCCUCUACCCAACAAGAAAGAAAACCUCACGAAACGCAUGAAGCGACACGAGACCAGGGUGCACGCGCUCAAGAAGGGCAAUGCCCUCCUCAUGGCCAAUGUAGACCGCUUGAAGGACGAUGUUCUCAAACAGAGAGAGGAAUCUGUCACUCUGCAGAAGGAGUUAGACUCUCUCAUCGAUGAUCUGGAGUGAUCGAACGCUUUUGGCACUACUCUUAAGUAAUACUAUGAAGCUAACAAUUUUAUGAGGAAUAAUCUCUUUGAUUUAUUGCAGUCUACACAGCCUUUGCAAGGCUUAUCAAGUUUUUUUAAUCGUCUCGAUAAAGCAACAGAGAACUUCUCGUGACGUUAAUAAUACGCAACUAUUUUGCACAAACCGUUAAUUUUGAUUGCUAUUUGAAAACUGAAUCUCAACAUCGAAUCUUGAGUUUUUAUUUAUGAUUUAUUUUAUUGAUGAAAUAAUCUCAAGAUAAGAAGACUUAUUGAUGUCGCUUGUCGGAGUUGAACUGUGAAUUUAAUUGAGUUGUUAUUUUGAUCUUACGAUAAAUAUAUCAAACAUAGAUCAUACCUGCCUAUAUACAUAUAUAAAAAAAAAAAGAAAAAAACAUUUCUACAUUCAAGGAUAUUCCAUUGUUGAUCAUCUUCCCUCAAUUAAAAAAAUUACAGCACCAAUCAAACUUAGAUAGUUCAAUGAUUAAAACUUUCAUUUUAUUUAUGUAGAUAGUCGAGGAAUAAUAUUUGUAUUGACGAUGAUUUCUGAUCAUUAAAAUACUAUAAUAAGGCUUUUUAAUAUAAUUAUUUGAAAAAUAAUGACUUCAACAUUUUACAAAAAUAUUUUUCAUAAUUUAUCAAAAAUGUUAACUUUCGCUUUUAAUUGUUUCCUACUUAAUAUUCCUAAUUGUAUAAUUUAUUAUUUUAAUUUACCACCAUAAUUAUUUUAAUGGUAAUACCUACCAACCCACUUACUUUUUACUCAUUUUUGCUAUCAUGUGAUUUGUACAUAAUAUUUUUAAGUUAAUAAUUAUUUAUAAAGUAUACCUACUAUUGUAUUACCAAACGACACAUUAAA
RNA transcript from Helicoverpa zea (corn earworm), 3423 nucleotides. It is a transcript of the gene named DNA ligase 1-like, with no coding region annotated. The transcript has 12 exons. Lineage: Eukaryota; Metazoa; Arthropoda; Insecta; Lepidoptera; Noctuidae. The record is from RefSeq and is a predicted model, not a curated record.